Molecule: ribosomal RNA, 62 nt
Filed under: uncultured organism
Description: partial 16S ribosomal RNA
Source: RNAcentral
AGGGAUUGACAUGCUCAAAAAGUCUCAGAAAUGGGAAAGUGCCGGAAAUGGAAUUGAGACAC